Molecule: ribosomal RNA, 497 nt
Filed under: uncultured bacterium
Lineage: Bacteria
Description: partial 16S ribosomal RNA
Rfam family: Bacterial small subunit ribosomal RNA
Source: RNAcentral
GAUGAACGCUGGCGGCGUGCCUAAUACAUGCAAGUCGAGCGAACAGACGAGGAGCUUACUCCUCUGACGUUAGCGGCGGACGGGUGAGUAACACGUGGAUAACCUACCUAUAAGACUGGGAUAACUUCGGGAAACCGGAGCUAAUACCGGAUAACAUGUUGAACCGCAUGGUUCAACAGUGAAAGCAGGUCUUGCUGUCACUUAUAGAUGGAUCCGCGUUGCAUUAGCUAGUUGGUAAGGAAACGGCUUACCAAGGCAACGAUGCGUAGCCGACCUGAGAGGGUGAUCGGCCACACUGGAACUGAGACACGGUCCAGACUCCUACGGGAGGCAGCAGUAGGGAAUCUUCCGCAAUGGGCGAAAGCCUGACGGAGCAACGCCGCGUGAGUGAAGAAGGUCUUCGGAUCGUAAAACUCUGUUAUUAGGGAAGAACAAAUGUGUAAGUAACUAUGCACGUCUUGACGGUACCUAAUCAGAAAGCCACGGCUAACUACGUG